RNAcentral lists this ribosomal RNA (253 nucleotides) under uncultured bacterium. Its description in RNAcentral is "partial 16S ribosomal RNA". It matches the Rfam family "Bacterial small subunit ribosomal RNA", at positions 524 to 776 of the family's 1533-position model. The record is from RNAcentral.
UACGUAGGGGGCAAGCGUUGUCCGGAUUUAUUGGGCGUAAAGCGCUCGCAGGUGGUUCGUCGCGUCGUGCGUGAAAGACCCUGGCUCAACUGGGGGAUGUCGUGCGAUACGGGCGAACUGGAGGCCAGUAGGGGGAUGCGGAAUUCCGGGUGUAGUGGUGGAAUGCGUAGAUAUCUGGAGGAACACCGGUGGCGAAGGCGGCAUCCUGGACCGACACUGACGCUGAGGAGCGAAAGCCAGGGGAGCAAACGGG